GACGAACGCUGGCGGCGUGCUUAACACAUGCAAGUCGAACGGAAAGGCCCUGCUUUUGUGGGGUGCUCGAGUGGCGAACGGGUGAGUAACACGUGAGUAACCUGCCCUUGACUUUGGGAUAACUUCAGGAAACUGGGGCUAAUACCGGAUAGGAGCUCCUGCUGCAUGGUGGGGGUUGGAAAGUUUCGGCGGUUGGGGAUGGACUCGCGGCUUAUCAGCUUGUUGGUGGGGUAGUGGCUUACCAAGGCUUUGACGGGUAGCCGGCCUGAGAGGGUGACCGGCCACAUUGGGACUGAGAUACGGCCCAGACUCCUACGGGAGGCAGCAGUGGGGAAUAUUGCACAAUGGGCGGAAGCCUGAUGCAGCAACGCCGCGUGCGGGAUGACGGCCUUCGGGUUGUAAACCGCUUUCGCCUGUGACGAAGCGUGAGUGACGGUAAUGGGUAAAGAAGCACCGGCUAACUACGUGCCAGCAGCCGCGGUGAUACGUGGGGUGCGAGCGUUGUCCGGAUUUAUUGGGCGUAAAGGGCUCGUAGGUGGUUGAUCGCGUCGGAAGUGUAAUCUUGGGGCUUAACCCUGAGCGUGCUUUCGAUACGGGUUGACUUGAGGAAGGUAGGGGAGAAUGGAAUUCCUGGUGGAGCGGUGGAAUGCGCAGAUAUCAGGAGGAACACCAGUGGCGAAGGCGGUUCUCUGGGCCUUUCCUGACGCUGAGGAGCGAAAGCGUGGGGAGCGAACAGGCUUAGAUACCCUGGUAGUCCACGCUGUAAACGGUGGGUACUAGGUGUGGGGUCCAUUCCACGGGUUCCGUGCCGUAGCUAACGCUUUAAGUACCCCGCCUGGGGAGUACGGCCGCAAGGCUAAAACUCAAAGGAAUUGACGGGGCCCCGCACAAGCGGCGGAGCAUGCGGAUUAAUUCGAUGCAACGCGUAGAACCUUACCUGGGUUUGACAUGGAUCGGGAGCGCUCAGAGAUGGGUGUGCCUCUUUUGGGGUCGGUUCACAGGUGGUGCAUGGCUGUCGUCAGCUCGUGUCGUGAGAUGUUGGGUUAAGUCCCGCAACGAGCGCAACCCUUGUUCACUGUUGCCAGCACGUUAUGGUGGGGACUCAGUGGAGACCGCCGGGGUCAACUCGGAGGAAGGUGGGGAUGACGUCAAGUCAUCAUGCCCCUUAUGUCCAGGGCUUCACGCAUGCUACAAUGGCUGGUACAGAGAGUGGCGAGCCUGUGAGGGUGAGCGAAUCUCGGAAAGCCGGUCUCAGUUCGGAUUGGGGUCAGCAACUCGACCUCAUGAAGUCGGAGUCGCUAGUAAUCGCAGAUCAGCAACGCUGCGGUGAAUACGUUCCCGGGGCU
RNAcentral lists this ribosomal RNA (1346 nucleotides) under uncultured bacterium. Its description in RNAcentral is "bacterial SSU rRNA". It matches the Rfam family "Bacterial small subunit ribosomal RNA", at positions 28 to 1381 of the family's 1533-position model. The record is from RNAcentral.